AAUCACUCUCGGCCUUUUGGCUAAGAUCAGGUGUAACAUCUGUUCUUAUCAGUUUAAAUUACACAUUUAAGCAUUUUUACCUUCAGAGUAUGAGUCUCAGCAUCAUUUAUCUGAGUGACUAAGUAAAUUCUUGAGUUAAUAUUCACAGAUUUAUCUAUCUUGUACAAAUAUACAUAAUUCCCUUAU
Molecule: small nuclear RNA, 186 nt
Organism: Phyllostomus discolor (pale spear-nosed bat)
Lineage: Eukaryota; Metazoa; Chordata; Mammalia; Chiroptera; Phyllostomidae
Product: U2 spliceosomal RNA
Exons: 1
Source: RefSeq, a predicted model, not a curated record